AAAUUGUAUUAGAACUUUGGCUUGAUCUAUUGCCUUCAAGAGUUAUGUUGAUGAUAUUUUUAGUAAGGCUUUCCACAUUAGAACUCUCUUUCGCAUAAACUAUGUAUAGAAAAACCAAACAUUAUAAACCAUUCAAAUUAUGAGAAGUUUACCAAAAUAAUUAUGAAAAAAAAUAAAACAAUAGUACCAUACCAUAUAACAAUAUAUUACCUCCUUUUCCAAAGACUCAAUCUCGUGUGCACAACAAAGUUUGAAUGUUUGCAAGCAUGCUCAAACCCAGAAACCUAAAAACCUCAGAAACUCCAAACCCAGAAAACCCCAGAAACCCCAAACCUAGAAAAUCCUCAGCCAUUAGUUUUACGAAAACCCCAAAUCACUAGUUUUUGAAAAAAUACACAGAAUACCCAAACAUACAAAAUCCAUACUUUUAGCGUGUGCUUGACUGUGUGUGAUUUUCUUGUGGCUACCGAAGUCAAGUUGAAGAUAGUGGACGGAGGAGGAUGCGAGAGAGAUGAGCGGAUUCGAGGAGAGCGUUGCAGAGUGUUGAAGUCUGGAGAGAUCAAGAGUGAAUGAGAGAGGAGGAUAGUCU
Molecule: long non-coding RNA, 589 nt
Filed under: Malus domestica (apple)
Lineage: Eukaryota; Viridiplantae; Streptophyta; Magnoliopsida; Rosales; Rosaceae
Description: long non-coding RNA (MDOM_LNC004361)
Source: RNAcentral